UAGGGAAUCUUCCGCAAUGGGCGAAAGCCUGACGGAGCAACGCCGCGUGAGUGAUGAAGGUCUUCGGAUCGUAAAACUCUGUUAUUAGGGAAGAACAAAUGUGUAAGUAACUAUGCACGUCUUGACGGUACCUAAUCAGAAAGCCACGGCUAACUACGUGCCAGCAGCCGCGGUAAUACGUAGGUGGCAAGCGUUAUCCGGAAUUAUUGGGCGUAAAGCGGGCGUAGGCGGUUUUUUAAGUCUGAUGUGAAAGCCCACGGCUCAACCGUGGAGGGGCAUUGGAAACUGGAAAACUUGAGUGCAGAAGAGGAAAGUGGAAUUCCAUGUGUAGCGGUGAAAUGCGCAGAGAUAUGGAGGAACACCAGUGGCGAAGGCGACUUUCUGGUCUGUAACUGACGCUGAUGUGCGAAAGCGUGGGGAUCAAACAGG
This 429-nucleotide ribosomal RNA is filed under the name Actinomycetes bacterium. RNAcentral describes it as "Actinobacteria bacterium partial 16S ribosomal RNA". It matches the Rfam family "Bacterial small subunit ribosomal RNA", at positions 355 to 776 of the family's 1533-position model. The record is from RNAcentral. Lineage: Bacteria; Bacillati; Actinomycetota; Actinomycetes.